GAGCAGGGAGUCAAACGCUACAGGGGAGCUCAAAUGAUCUUGCAAGGUGGUGAAGUAACAUACUGAGAAAUGCAAACUCGGUGACAACUGCUGGAAUGUGGUUCAGCACCUGCCUCCAGGCGUGGAGGAGUGGAAAACCUGCUCUGGGAAAUGCUUUGUACCUAGCUAAGGGUUCCCACACAGCCCUCCCUGGGACACUGAGGUGUGGCAGGAGGGAGAGACGUGGCAAUGUCGACUGUGGCUUCUACUGUGCAUGGCAGGUAUGGAAACAGAGACAGUGGCAUUCACCAGCUGCUGAUCACUAAAUCAUGCUGCAAGACCUAUGCCUGGGCUGUUCACACCAGCAGCGAUGAAACAGAACAAUUGCAAAAGGGACUCGGUCGCAUGAAGAGAAGAAUUACUGCAAGGAUUUUUACGUGGAGAAAAAUGAAGCUGUUUUGUCACAUGGAGAACCCGGCUGGGCAGAGCGGGAGCUGGGAGUUAGUGGCUCUGAAGGCAGGACCUGUGCUGCAGCUGGCUCUGGUUUGAGGCUUGCAGCUGGGAUUUCAGUGUUGAAGUUUCACAACCAAAACUUCUGCUUUCCUGACCAGCUUCUAGUGGUGCCAUGGCUUGCUGGGGCUGUGGGCUCAGGAGUUCAUGUGCAAACUCACUUGUGAGCCUGGUUUUACCCAGCAUGUGUUUGCACCCUCUGGGACUGGGUUUCCAGAUUUUCCCUCAAAACUUGCAUCCUCUUCCACAAAUGCACCAGCCGCUUUCUCCAGCAGAUCCAUUGAAAUGUCCAUGAAAUGUCCAUAAAAUGCUCAGGAAACAUCUGCAUUUACUUGGAGGUCCUGUAGAAAUGCCCAACUAUGGCAGCAGGAGUGAGGGUUGCCAGGACAGCCCCAGCUUUGAAUUCUCAUGCUUUGGUGGUUUUCUCCCUCAACCUUACAUAUAUCUGUAUUUCGAUGAUAAUUACUAUUCAUUUCUAGUGCUGCCUUCUACUGCUUUUUCUCUUGAUGGACUCCCAGGGGAAAUUAAAUAGCCCAUUGUUGCUUUCUCCAGUGCCCAGAAACAGCAUGUGGUGUAUACUUACAAACCUGGCUGGCCAGAUGUGGGAAAAUAGUCUGAAAUGGGCCUUUUGAGUUUUUAUGGAAAGAAUCCACCAAAAAAACACUCGUUGAAUCACCUGUCCCGUUACUGGAGAUGAGCUGUACCCUCUGGUGCAAGAAGUGAUGCUGGCAGAGGGUAGAGACAGGCAGAGAAGACCAGGUGAUAGCAGAGAGGUGUCCAUGAGGGGUGACAGUAAAAGCUGGAGUAGCAGCAGUGGAAAACAGAGGUGUCAGGGUCAAACAAGCCAGAAUCCACCCAGAUCAGUGAAGGAUUUGCUGUGGUAUCUCCAGGGCAGCCCAGGACUGCUCUGCAGCUGCUCUGUGUUUAAUCUCAUUCUCUUUUCUGCUUUUUCCUUGCCAGCAGGGACUGUGCUUUGUUCUGCCAUUGCACUCUUUUUAAAGGGUAACACAGGGUGAGGCAAAUUCCUGAUGUAUACUUCAAUUUGUGCCCCUUUGCUGCUGUAUAUAUAUUAUUUUAAAACUAUAGCCAGCGGAAGCAAUUUAUUUGUUUAGUGGUGUCCGGGAAACAUACCCAAGGGAGAUCUCUGAACACAACCACAAAGCCGAUAAGGAUUAAUGGUAGAUGAUAGAACAUCGGAUAAGGCUAUUCCCACAUUUGGGUCGAUAUCUACUAUUAGGAGCAUGAACAUCAAGUAAAUGAAUAUCAGGUUAUUAAUAUGUUAUUAUAUUUAGUGACAGUCAGUAUUUACUUCUCCUCUAAAGACUGCUGAGGACCACAUUAGCAUCCUUGUAUGCUCUGGCAGUUGGGAGAUCAGCCGGCCCUAUCUCAGUGGCUGUGAGUUUAGCACAACCAUCACAUCCGAGCUUUAAAAGGGCACUAUGUGACCUAUAUGUUUUAUUCUUAGACAAAGCUAACAGUAUCUGACUUAGUCUCCAUUGCUAGCAGAGAAUGCAUUACUAGUGGGGAUAAAUCUCUUUCCUUCUACAGGUGUUGAUAUCUGCUGUGGAGGAUAAUAGGCACCAGUAGUCAUUUGUAAAAGCAGCUCCAAGACCUAGUGUUGAUAUUGUUGUGUCUUAUCCAGCAGCUCCAGGUCCCUGCCAUGCCCUGGGUGAGAAUUAACAAAGCACCUCCUUUGCUGACACCUGCACUUUCAUUCUUGCCUCCCUUGAUUUCCUGCAUUAAUUUUAAAAAAGUAAUAACAAUCUUCCCAGAAAUAUUUAACAGGUGCAGAAGCCCAGCUGUGUCCUGCACGUGGUGCACCUGUGUGUGUGCGUAAGUCCAAGCCAGGAAACCCCUUCUCCCCAUGGAACAGCUGCCUCCAGGUGACUGCUCCCAAAUGCUGCAGCCCAGCAGGAUUUCUUCCUUCAUCCCCAGGUUUCCUUUGCUGUUCUCAGCUCUGCCCUGCUCCCCCAGCACCACAGCCUGCCUGGCACCCACUGUGUGGGCUCUCCAGGGCCACCACUGCCUCUUUGCUUCCCCUGCAAUGCCCUGCUAAGCAAGAGGCUGGACAUCCCGAGUACCGACCACCACAGCAAUGGAACCAAACCAUAUCCAGCAGUAACUUUAGGGUGGAAACAGGGGUUGACUGGGAAAGUCUAGUUAUCUCUUUGCCACUUUGAGUCACACUAUGGGGCUGAGGGGGCUGAAACUGCCCUGGGAAUUCUUAAGGCUGUGCUAAAAGGAGCCUGAUUUAUUAUGCUCACUUUAUAGAGGAGUGAAAACCUCGCUGGCAGUGAGCAAUAAACAAUCUGUGGGGAUGCAGAAAGCAGCAAUGUUAAAGGAUGUAAAAUUGAAGAUAUUUCUUAAUGACUCAGUUAUUUGAGGAAGCAGAAGCAUGGAGCACUUCAUGCACUGCAGCAUGGCAAUGCCAGGCUCUAGAUGAGCAACCUUGCUGGAGCAGCAUCUGCACCAUCAUGGGACAGUGAGAAACACCCUGCCCUACAGAACCCACUGAAAGCCAAGAGGAGACCUAUAGAUACCAGAAUACAAAGCCAAAGAAGGGAACAAUGAGCCUGUGUUCUUUGUGUGAGAGACAAAAUUAUGAGCGUGUUGUUUAUCCCACUAUUUUAUGGACUGCUAGGCUGAAAACCAGCACACCUGGCCCUCAGUGGCAGUGGGAACAAACCUGAGUGGUUUCCUGCACCAAAUCCCAAGGGAUGAGGAACAUCUGUGUGCUCCAGACUAUGGCCAACAUCCCACAGAAAUGGUUUUCUCGUUUCAGGGAAGUGUUCAAUAUUUUAGACUUUUCUGUCCCUCAUCAGCCAGAAGUUCAAAAUGAGGGAGAAACAGAAACCUUAGACAUUUUAUUUUAAACAGAGCUCCAUAAAUCAUGCAGCCUAAUAAGCAAAAUGGGUUAAUUUAAGGUCUUUGUUUAUAUGUUUGUUUUAAAUUUACAGCAUUUACUGACUUUAAAUAAAAUCCUUGUAGUUGCUUCUAUACAACAUCUUUCCUUCCCUUGGUUUAAUUUUAGAUGUGUACAGCUCAAUGUUAAAUACGCAUUAUUAAGUAAUGGAAAUGUCAUAGUCCUAGAUUAAACUCCUCUAGUGGAAUUAAAUUAAAGGUUUCUGCUCCUA
This is a long non-coding RNA of Columba livia (rock pigeon), 3623 nucleotides long. RefSeq lists it as uncharacterized. The transcript is spliced from 3 exons. The record is from RefSeq and is a predicted model, not a curated record. Lineage: Eukaryota; Metazoa; Chordata; Aves; Columbiformes; Columbidae.